RNAcentral lists this unclassified non-coding RNA (3129 nucleotides) under Aphidius gifuensis. Its description in RNAcentral is "uncharacterized LOC122855733, transcript variant X4". Lineage: Eukaryota; Metazoa; Arthropoda; Insecta; Hymenoptera; Braconidae. The record is from RNAcentral.
ACAAUAAUAUUUUUUUUUUUUAGUUUUUAAAAUACCCACGAAAUCGCUGCAUUUAUUUUAGUCUUACUAUUCACGACACUCCAGUCUUCUUAAAUUUAUAUAGCUCUUUGACAGUUCCAGUCUCACGUGGACACUUGACAGUUGUCAGUUGACACCCUUGGUCCUUGACACUUGUUGUUUGUGGUGUUUCUUGCUGUGUGAUUGAUGCUAAUCAUUGGUUUGUUUACUGUUUAGUAAAAAACAUAGAGCUUAAAAAUCUUUUAAAAUAAUUAAUAUAUUGAGAUUUAAGAUAAAGAAAUAUUUCAACCACAACGUGAUUAUAGUAAACACCGACAAAUUGCAAUUAUAUCAGAUAUGGAAGAGGUCAGCAAACAAAUUUUGUUAAAAAAAUAUAAGGUGUCGAGUGAAAUUUCAACAUCUUCCUUUGACGAAAAUAAUAAUGAGAUAUACGAUGAGAAUCAUGAUCAUUCAAUAAUUGACAGUGUUAAUGAUGAUUGUCUUGCUGAAAUAUUCAUGUAUGUGCCAGUAUUUGAAAGACCUAAAAUUGCAUUGGUAUGUCAAAAAUGGAAUCGAGUCCUUGAUUAUUCUUGGGGUAAUGUCAAAAAACUUCAACUAACUCAUUGGGAAUAUAAUAAUGAGUCUCCAAAUUGUUUGAAGAAAUAUCCAACACCCGAUGAAAAAUUAAGCUUUCUAAAUUCAUUGCUUCCAAAGUUUGGUCGUUAUUUAACACAAUUAGACUUGACAGCUUAUGGUCAUAGUAACAUAGCGCCAGUUAUUAAUGAAUAUUGUCCAAACCUCGUGAAACUUCGAUUGAGAUUAAUCUAUGACGAAACCCAUAAACUAGGUUGGAGACCAUUUUCUCGUCUAUCUAAGCUCAAGGUAUUAACAGUUAUAUUUCAACAUCAUCUAAAACACCACGCUAAGCUCAAUGAGUUAGUACAUGCAUUGGAAUCCCUUGCUGAUACAUUGACUGAUCUGACUCUCUUCAAUUGGAAAGCUGACGAACCCUGGGCAUAUAGUAGACCUAGGGGAUUUCCAAAGUAUUUACCCUGUGAAUUUUCGAUGAGUAUCGUUCAUGUGCUUCGUCGACUAAAGGCUCUGAAAAGAUUUGAAUUUGGUGGUAUACUAAUUUUUCCAAAGUUGAGAGAGUAUUUGAAAAAUAAUAGCACACUAGAAUGUCAUCCUUAUAUGAUCAUUUCAGAAACAAAAAUGUUAAGCCAAAUCAGUUAAUGAGUAUAACUACAUUGGAUAUGUUGAGAUACAAAAUUUCAGAUGAUAGUUUGUAUACUAUUGCCAAUACCUUGCAGCAAUUAACAACGCUCAAAAUAAAUUGUGGAUGGAUAACUAAUGAUGGUGUAGUAGCCAUUUCAAAGUUGAAUAAUUUAACACAUCUUUGGUUUGUCGGCAUCAAUAACAGCAUUGAUUCUUCAUCAAUCAAAUUGCUCAAAAACUUGACUAAAUUAAUGUUACCACGCAGCAAUAAAAUUACUGAUAAUUUAGCCAUGAAAGUUCUCGAAAAUUCACCAAAGCUGGAGGUGUUGUUUGUUCUGCAGCAGUCAAGUGUAACUGUUGAAUUUAUCACAAAAGCAGCAGAAGUAUCAAGAAAACGAGAAAAAUUUUUGAAAUUAGCUGUUUCUUUCAAAACUGAGGAAAAACAAUAUGAAUCGCCAUAUUUCAGAAUUCUUGUUGUACCAGAAUGUAAAAAAAAGGAAAUUAGAUAAUUGACAAAUUUUAAUGAUAACUGAUAUAUUAAUAUCAUAGAUUAAAAAAUAAUUUUUUUAAUAUUAUACAUUUUUUUUUUUUACUUGUAAAAAUUUAUUAAAAAUUUUUAUAAUAUAAAAAACCUAAUAAACAAAAUGUUCAUUUAUAAUAACAAUAAUAUAUAUAUAUAUAUUUUUUUUUCUAUCAGUUUUUAAAAUACCGACAAAAUCUCUUCUUAAAUUUAUAUAUAGUUGUUGAACAGCUGUUUCAGCGACAUGUGGACACAGCUGAACAGCACAGAACUGUCACAGUUUGCACUAUGGUUCGUGCUUCGCUGUGCUUUGUGGUGCUUCAAUUGUUUAUAGUAAAAAACAUAGAGCUUAUAAAAAAAUCUUUUAAUAUAAUUAAUAUAUAUAUUGAGUUGAAAAAAUAUUAAACCAAAACUUGCUCCUAGUGAAUUGUUAAAUAUGGAAAAAUUUAGAGAAAAACGUAAACCAGAGUCGGAAAACCUUUUUUCUAAAAAAUAUAAGGUGUCAAGUGAAAUUUCAACACCUUCUUUUAACGCAAAGGAUAAUGAGACAUACAAACAUACAACAAUUGAUUGUAUUAAUGAUGAUUGUCUGGCUGAAAUAUUCAUGUAUGUGCCAGUAUGGGAAAGACCUAGAAUUGCAUUGGUAUGUCAAAAAUGGAAUCGAGUCCUUGAUUAUUCUUGGGGUAAUGUCAAAAAGCUUGAACUGACUCACUGGGAAUAUAAUGAGGAUGCAAAUUGUUUGAAGAAAUAUCCAACACCCGAUGGAAAAUUGAGCUUUUUAAAAUCACUACUUAAUAAAUGUGGUCGUUAUUUAAGACAAUUAGACUUGACAGCUUAUGGUCAUAGUGACAUAGUGCGAGUUAUUAAUAAAUAUUGUCCAAACCUCGUGAAACUUCGUUUGAGAUUCACCUCUGAUAACGAUGAAAUUGUAGUAUAUGAUGCAUUUUCCCGUCUAUCUAAGCUUAAAGUAUUAGCAGUUAUAUUUCAAUAUCAUGAAAAACACCAGUCUAAGCUUCAUUAUUUAAUCACUGCAUUGUUACCCCUUGCUAAUACAUUGACUGAUCUUACUCUGUUCAAUUGGAAAGCUGAUGACGUAUCCUGCAGUACAAAUAGUACACCUAAUAUACCCUGUCUAUUUCCCGGGAUCACCAUUUGGAUGCUUCGUCGACUAAAGGCCCUGAAAAGAUUUGAAUUUACUGGUAUAGAAAUGUUCCCACAGUUAGAAGAAUAUCUGAGAGAUAGUCACACACUAGAAUGUUUUUACUAUGAUUGUUUCCUUCCUUAGCCAUUUUAAAGAUGAAUUUUAAAAUUAUUUGUUCAACAAAAAAAAUUAGAUAAUUGACAAAAUUCGGUGAUAAUACUGAUAUUAAUACUGUAUAUAUAUAAUGCUAGAUAGU